This 874-nucleotide long non-coding RNA is filed under the name Medicago truncatula (barrel medic). RNAcentral describes it as "long non-coding RNA (MTRU_LNC000213)". Lineage: Eukaryota; Viridiplantae; Streptophyta; Magnoliopsida; Fabales; Fabaceae. The record is from RNAcentral.
UCUCUCUCUCUCUCUGCUGUCACUCACAUAUCGAAGCUCUCUGCUAUGUGGAUUUGUUAGCCAACGCUGGACUCUUAAACCUAGAAAUUCCAUUUCACUCUCCCCAAUUUCACACCCUAAUCCUUCUCUCGAACUCUUUCCCACCACACCUCACCUUGCAAUCGCACCGCUCGAUUCGCACCCUUUCGUGCUUCCUCAUCGCUUCAAUCUUCUGUAAGUUAUAUCUCCCAAAUAAUUCUGUAUAUAAAUUUUCUUAGUUCCCAAUUUUAAAUUUUAUGUUAUUUUUGUUGUUGGCAAAAUAGCAUCAAAUUUUAGGUCUUUUUAUUAUAGUCAAUUAUUAUGUCAGUGGUGUGGUGGUUCAACGAAAUAUACCCGACGGAGAAGAAAAAUUGAGAGCUAUAUGUACACUUUGUGGCCGGAUUGCUUUUUGAGUAUUUGAAUCAUAGCAAAUGACUAAAACAAAUUAGGAGACAGCUGUUGUUUAUCUCUUUUUGAUUUUAUGUUUAUAGAGUCAACCUCAUUUAAUGUGGAAACAGGAUUAUAUAACAAUCUUAUGAAUUUGAAUUUCGCAUUGAAUAUAUUGCUCAUGAACCAAGGGAUCAUUCAGAAGAUGAAAAAGAGACUACAAAUAAUAAGGUAACGAAAUUUGAUCAAGACAUAAAUUGUGACAUUUUGAUUUUUGUCCAAAAUAUUUGUGAUGAAACAUGAAAGUUUUUGAGUUGUUUAUUUGUCUGACAUUAUGUUUGUUUGACAAACUUUUUCUUUAUGUUUGUUUGACAAAGCAAUGUUUGCUCUUGUAGCUUAUUUUCUUUGUGUCUUAAAUCAUCCUACCUGCAAUUCGUGUAGCUCCCAUAACAGCUUUGAUGAAACGAAG